CAUUACGUGUGAAAUUUGUGGAGAUCGAGACAGUCGAAUAAAUCACAAAAGCAGAAUAUUUAUGGCGAAAUUUCCAUUGGAUGAGGUCAGAUGCCGAAAGUGGGUUCAGGUUGUGGGAAAAGAAGAUUUGAUAUAUGUUCCCAGAGAAAAGCUGCAUACUCUGAAAUAGGUGUGUGGUUCUCACUUUAA
This is a long non-coding RNA of Manduca sexta (tobacco hornworm), 189 nucleotides long. RefSeq lists it as uncharacterized. The record is from RefSeq and is a predicted model, not a curated record. The transcript has 2 exons. NCBI's taxonomy places the organism in Eukaryota, Metazoa, Arthropoda, Insecta, Lepidoptera, Sphingidae.